RNAcentral lists this RNase P RNA (375 nucleotides) under Salmonella enterica subsp. enterica serovar Hato. RNAcentral describes it as "RNase P RNA component class A". It matches the Rfam family "Bacterial RNase P class A". Rfam says of the family: Ribonuclease P (RNase P) is a ubiquitous endoribonuclease, found in archaea, bacteria and eukarya as well as chloroplasts and mitochondria. Its best characterised activity is the generation of mature 5'-ends of tRNAs by cleaving the 5'-leader elements of precursor-tRNAs. Lineage: Bacteria; Pseudomonadati; Pseudomonadota; Gammaproteobacteria; Enterobacterales; Enterobacteriaceae. The record is from RNAcentral.
GAAGCUGACCAGACAGUCGCCGCUUCGUCGUCGUCCUUUCGGGGAGACGGGCGGAGGGGAGGAAAGUCCGGGCUCCAUAGGGCAGGGUGCCAGGUAACGCCUGGGGGGGGAACCCACGACCAGUGCAACAGAGAGCAAACCGCCGAUGGCCCACGUAAGUGGGAUCAGGUAAGGGUGAAAGGGUGCGGUAAGAGCGCACCGCGCGGCUGGUAACAGUCCGUGGCACGGUAAACUCCACCCGGAGCAAGGCCAAAUAGGGGUUCAUAAGGUACGGCCCGUACUGAACCCGGGUAGGCUGCUUGAGCCAGUGAGCGAUUGCUGGCCUAGAUGAAUGACUGUCCACGACAGAACCCGGCUUAUCGGUCAGUUUCACCU